This 253-nucleotide ribosomal RNA is filed under the name uncultured bacterium. RNAcentral describes it as "partial 16S ribosomal RNA". It matches the Rfam family "Bacterial small subunit ribosomal RNA", at positions 524 to 776 of the family's 1533-position model. The record is from RNAcentral.
GACGUAGGGCGCGAGCGUUGUCCGGAAUUACUGGGCGUAAAGCGUGCGCAGGCGGUUCUCCAAGUCCGUUGUGAAAGCCCCGGGCUCAACCUGGGAAUGGCAGUGGAAACUAGGGGACUGGAAUCUGGCAGAGGGGGGUGGAAUGCCGCGUGUAGCAGUGAAAUGCGUAGAGAUGCGGCGGAACACCGAUGGCGAAGGCAGCCCCCUGGGCUGUGAUUGACGCUCAGGCACGAAAGCGUGGGGAGCAAACAGG